RNAcentral lists this non-coding RNA (31 nucleotides) under Rattus norvegicus (Norway rat). The record is from RNAcentral. Lineage: Eukaryota; Metazoa; Chordata; Mammalia; Rodentia; Muridae.
UGUCUUGAAAUUAACCAAGAAAUGGGCAUCU